RNAcentral lists this transfer RNA (74 nucleotides) under Candidatus Magasanikiibacteriota bacterium. Its description in RNAcentral is "tRNA-Cys". It matches the Rfam family "tRNA". From Rfam's summary of the family: Transfer RNA (tRNA) molecules are approximately 80 nucleotides in length. Their secondary structure includes four short double-helical elements and three loops (D, anti-codon, and T loops). The record is from RNAcentral. Lineage: Bacteria; Candidatus Magasanikiibacteriota.
GGUACCGUGGCCAAGCGGUAAGGCAGGAGCCUGCAAAGCUCUUAUCACCGGUUCGAAUCCGGUCGGUACCUCCA